AAUAUUGGUCAAUGGAGGCAACUCUGAACCAGCCAAGUCGCGUGAAGGAUGACUGCCCUACGGGUUGUAAACUUCUUUUUUAAGGGAAUAAAGUGAGCCACGUGUGGCUUUUUGCAUGUACCUUACGAAUAAGGAACGACUAACUCCGUACCAGCAGCCGAGGUAAUACGGAGGAUCCGAGCGUUAACCGGAUUUAUUGGGUUUAAAGGGUGCGCAGGCCGAAUAUUAAGUCGGCGGUUAAAGUUUUCAGCUUAACUGUAAAAUUGCCGUUGAAACUGGUUUUCUUGAGUGUAUAUGAAGUAGGCGGAAUUUGUAGUGUAGCGGUGAAAUGCAUAGAUAUUACAAGGAACUCCGAUUGCGAAGGCAGCUUACUAAAAUACAACUGACGCUCAGGCACGAAGGCGUGGGUAUCAAACA
RNAcentral lists this ribosomal RNA (417 nucleotides) under uncultured bacterium. RNAcentral's name for it is "partial 16S ribosomal RNA". It matches the Rfam family "Bacterial small subunit ribosomal RNA", at positions 360 to 774 of the family's 1533-position model. The record is from RNAcentral.